GAUGAACGCUGGCGGCGUGCCUAAUACAUGCAAGUCGAGCGAACAGACGAGGAGCUUGCUCCUCUGACGUUAGCGGCGGACGGGUGAGUAACACGUGGAUAACCUACCUAUAAGACUGGGAUAACUUCGGGAAACCGGAGCUAAUACCGGAUAAUAUAUUGAACCGCAUGGUUCAAUAGUGAAAUACGGUUUUUCUGUCACUUAUAGAUGGAUCCGCGCCGCAUUAGCUAGUUGGUUAGGUAAUGGGUUACCAAGGCUACGAUGCGUAGCCGACCUGAGAGGGUGGUCGGCGACACGGGAAGUGAGACAGGGUCCAGACUCCUACGGUAGGAAGCAGUAGGGAAUCUUACGCAAUGGGCGAGAGCCUGACGGAGCAACGCGGCGUGAGUGAUGAAGGUCUUCGGAUCGUGAAACUCUGUUAUUAGGGAGGAACAAAUGUGUAAGUAACUAUGCACGUCUUGACGGUACCUAAUCAGAAAGCCACGGCUAACUACGUG
Molecule: ribosomal RNA, 497 nt
Filed under: uncultured bacterium
Lineage: Bacteria
Description: partial 16S ribosomal RNA
Rfam family: Bacterial small subunit ribosomal RNA
Source: RNAcentral